This is a long non-coding RNA of Folsomia candida, 2511 nucleotides long. RefSeq lists it as uncharacterized. Lineage: Eukaryota; Metazoa; Arthropoda; Collembola; Entomobryomorpha; Isotomidae. The transcript is spliced from 2 exons. The record is from RefSeq and is a predicted model, not a curated record.
AAAACUUAUACAUCUUCUGUACAUCAUCCUCAACACUUUUGUGUUACAUAUACUCAUUCAUCACUCAAAGGUCAAAGGUUAGAAAAGCUUGGUUGCAAAACCCUGUUAAAAUGUGCGUUUCAAGGCGCAAUUACUACUCCAAAUUCCCCAAUUUGAAGGGAAGAAAUAUUGAAACUCUAGAAAAGGGCUCCUCACUUGUCCCAUGAGAGUAAUGCAUAAAUUGUGCAUCACUUUGUUCUCUUCUAGCGAAAGAAGUUCAAGUAUUUACUAUCUUAUCAUCCUAUUUCCUUAUAGAGAGGAGGCGUUAUCAGGAAUUUGUGACGCGUAUUUAUUUAUGUGGAGGGUGUACGUGACUGCUGAGCUUGUUUCGUUGCAAGAGUACUUUUCUAGAAUUGAAGACGAGGGUAUAUACCUACUGAAUUUGCAAUCUUCUUAGAAAUUGUCAUCCGGGGUGGGUCGUAAAUUUGCAAACUGGAAUUCUGCAGGGGAAAGUUCGCAUGUCACGAAAGGGAGGAGGAGUGGGCAUAUUCUGAAGUCUACAUUUUUUUCAAGAAACAGGUUCACAAAAUUCAUAAUAUGCAUAUGCUAUGGCAAACCAAGGUUUAAACAAGUCAUGUAAUCAUCUUCUCUUCAUCCUUCUACUAAAUAUGUAACUGGAAAUAACUCGGUUCACAGUUUGUCCUUUUUGCUCAAGAAUAAAAGUUGUCAUUGACGUGUAAAUUUUAUUUGUGGCCUGAACAAAAUAUUUCUGAUGGGACUCCUCGUUAAAUUUUAUAUUAUUAUCUGAGAGAAAUAAGAACGGAUAGAAAUAAGGAGAGAGAGAGACCACAUAAUGAUUAUGAUGACCCCUUAUCAGUACCAAUACCGAUACCAGCUCAACCAUAUUUUCUGACAACUUGAUUUUCUGACCCAGGGGACCGUAAGUGAGAGAGACCAAAGCAAAUUGAUAAGAAGACUUAACAUUUAUUUAUUCCAUUCGUCUUUGUCUGUCGGUUGAUCUGAAUUAGAAUUAACGACGAAACUGAGACUCAUCUCAACUGCAACCAAUAAGUUGAAGUUCGUGACGGGUUUCUCGUCUUUCAUUCCAUUCAUAUCGCAUUCUUUUUUCUUCGUAAUAAAUACAACUUGACUGGAAAUGACUAAUGGCUGAAGAACUGAAAUAUUUUUACGAUUGUAUGUAACUUGAGAGGCAAUAAUUUUGCAGCAUUUUCUCAUGAUGCAACCAAUAUGGAAAAUUUCCAAAUAAUUUGGCGUCGUAGUUUAAGGUGAUGACGCGUUCCACAUUCCACCCUCAUUACAAUAGCACUUCCUGGACCGAUUUUGAGAAAAAUUUGGCUCGCAGGUGGUUAUUAUGACUAGAUUAACAAUGGAGGUGCCAUUUCUUUGGAACUAAACACGGAUACAUAAACUAGAUAUUUGUGACCUCCAUUUACAAUUAUCGGAGUCUACGUGACUGCCCGUCUCAAUUCAUUCCUUAUUAUCGCAAUUCUCUUCAAAUAGAAAAGCAUGUGGAAAAUUACCAAGAGUGGUCUCAUUCUUCAAAUUAUGAAAACAAUUCCAAGAACCCUAAACAAAUCAAUCACGUAGCACCAUAAACCCCGGAAGAGUGGAUGCCAUGCCAUGCCUCCAUCACUAUCACACCAUCUCGAUUUGUUUGUACUCGAGAUUACAUAAAGUGCAGUCCCAUAAAAUGAUAUAUAUAAAAUAGAAUAAAAUCAGGCCAUAUCAGCUAUCGGCAUAUUAACUGCAGGGUCAGAUAUGACAAAUGAGUUAUUUUUAGCGUCACAAUACUAACAGGUCAUUAAUAACCCCUUUGUGUACUAUUAGUAGUCGUAGCAUUGUACUAUAAUGUCAUUUUGUUGAUGGUUUUUAUAUGGCUGGACACUAAAAUUAACGCGUAAUAUAAUAAAAACAUGGUCUGUAUGUAUAUAAAAACGUCGUUGGAAAAGUACGAGGGUUGACUAUUGUAUGUAACAUAAAUAAUAAUGCUUUGUGCAAAGAACACUUUGAUGGAGAGAGAAGCAAAUUAAGUUAAACAUUGGGCACAAACCUGAAAAACGAGUAUCGCAUUUUGCAUGACAGCCCUCCUCGUCGUCAACAUGUUGCUUUGGGCAGGAGGGCAUUGUCAGGAUGACGAUGAUGAUAAGAUUGCAAUAUCGGCACCGAGAGUUUUGCACUUUUUUUUAUUGUUGAACCAUCUCUGAGUCAGGCUGGAAACUUGUCACGUUGAACACAGUCACAAUUUUAGGUGGUCAAUUAUUAUUUGUCAAAACACUUUUUUCCUUGUACUAAACUUGUAUGCAUUCUGGAAUUCUGGAUGAUUCGCAAGAAUGCUAAAAUUGAAUGAAACAAAGAAAGACCAAUAUCCUCCUCCUUCUUAGCGAGAAGUUUAUGAAGAAUUUAUGAAACAAGAGAAGAAUAGCGAAUCUAAUUGCGAGACCAAAUUGGCCAUUGUGCAAUUUAUACACAAUGCCUCAUAUAAUGCUUAAAAUUGUGUUUAAUUAUACUUUU